CACCGCCCGUCGCUCCUACCGAUUGAAUGGUCCGGUGAAGUGUUCGAAUCGCGGCGACGGGGGCGGUUCGCCGCCCCCGACGUUGCGAGAAGUCCAUUGAACCUUAUCAUUUAGAGGAAGGAGAAGUCGUAACAAGGUUUCCGUAGGUGAACCUGCGGAAG
This 161-nucleotide ribosomal RNA is filed under the name Triticum aestivum (bread wheat). RNAcentral describes it as "rRNA SSU_rRNA_eukarya". It matches the Rfam family "Eukaryotic small subunit ribosomal RNA", at positions 1667 to 1823 of the family's 1831-position model. Lineage: Eukaryota; Viridiplantae; Streptophyta; Magnoliopsida; Poales; Poaceae. The record is from Rfam by way of RNAcentral.